RNAcentral lists this ribosomal RNA (450 nucleotides) under uncultured bacterium. RNAcentral's name for it is "bacterial SSU rRNA". It matches the Rfam family "Bacterial small subunit ribosomal RNA", at positions 354 to 796 of the family's 1533-position model. The record is from RNAcentral.
GUGGGGAAUAUUGGACAAUGGGCGAAAGCCUGAUCCAGCCAUGCCGCGUGUGUGAAGAAGGUCUUCGGAUUGUAAAGCACUUUAAGUUGGGAGGAAGGGCAGUAAGUUAAUACCUUGCUGUUUUGACGUUACCGACAGAAUAAGCACCGGCUAACUUCGUGCCAGCAGCCGCGGUAAUACGAAGGGUGCAAGCGUUAAUCGGAAUUACUGGGCGUAAAGCGCGCGUAGGUGGUUUUGUAAGUUGGAGGUGAAAUCCCCGGGCUCAACCUGGGAACUGCCUCCAAAACUGCAUGACUAGAGUACGGUAGAGGGUAGUGGAAUUGCCUGUGUAGCGGUGAAAUGCGUAGAUAUAGGAAGGAACACCAGUGGCGAAGGCGACUACCUGGACUGAUACUGACACUGAGGUGCGAAAGCGUGGGGAGCAAACAGGAUUAGAAACCCUAGUAGUCC